CCUACGAGAGGCUGCAGUGAGGAAUAUUGGUCAAUGGCCGAGAGGCUGAACCAGCCAAGUCGCGUGAGGGAAGACGGCCCUACGGGUUGUAAACCUCUUUUGUCGGGGCGCAAAGAGAGUCACGUGUGACUCAUUGAGAGUACCCGAAGAAAAAGCAUCGGAUAACUCCGUGCCAGCAGACGCGGUAAUACGGAGGAUGCGAGCGUUAUCCGGAUUUCUUGGGUUUAAAGGGUGCGCAGGCGGAGGUGCAAGUCAGCGGUCAAAUUGCGGGGCUCAACCCCGUACUGCCGUUGAAACUGCAUCCCUUGAGUGCGCGAGAAGUAUGCGGAAUGCGUGGUGUAGCGGUGAAAGGCAUAGAUAUCACGCAGAACUCCGAUUGCGAAGGCAGCAUACCGGCGCGCAACUGACGCUCAUGCACGAAAGCGUGGGUAUCGAACAGGAUUAGAUACCCGGGUAGUC
Molecule: ribosomal RNA, 459 nt
Filed under: uncultured bacterium
Lineage: Bacteria
Description: partial 16S ribosomal RNA
Rfam family: Bacterial small subunit ribosomal RNA
Source: RNAcentral